GACGAACCGUGCGAACGUUGUUCGGAAUCAUUGGGCUUAAAGGGCGCGUAGGCGGGCCGCCGAGUCCGGGGUGAAAUCCUCCAGCUUAACUGGAGAACUGCCCCGGAUACUGGAGGUCUCGAGGAGGGUAGGGGCAUGCGGAACUGUGGGUGGAGCGGUGAAAUGCGUUGAUAUCCACAGGAACUCCGAUGGCGAAGGCAGGUCUCUGGGCAUUAACUGACGCUGAAGAGCGAAAGCAUGGGGAGCAAACAGG
This 253-nucleotide ribosomal RNA is filed under the name uncultured bacterium. Its description in RNAcentral is "partial 16S ribosomal RNA". It matches the Rfam family "Bacterial small subunit ribosomal RNA", at positions 524 to 776 of the family's 1533-position model. The record is from RNAcentral.